Bradysia coprophila is the source of this 436-nucleotide long non-coding RNA. RefSeq lists it as uncharacterized. The record is from RefSeq and is a predicted model, not a curated record. NCBI's taxonomy places the organism in Eukaryota, Metazoa, Arthropoda, Insecta, Diptera, Sciaridae.
UGUGUUUUUUAUCAAGUCAAGCGUUGGAUUUUAGUUUUCAUCGCGAACAUUAAUCGAUACAAAGUCAAAACAUACACAGAAUAAAAUGUAAAAAAUUAGCCAAACAUUUGAUUGAGUGAAAAAAUGAGUUUUCCUGGGUCAAUACGACCUUUACGGGACGCUUUAACUACAGUGUUUGUGGUGCCAUGUGCGGUAAUAUUCAUCGUAUCCAAAUGUUUCUUAGUUGGAGUGAAGUAUCUGAAAAAAUUCGGUAAUGCGUUAGCUCAGCACUAAAACGUAAAUUUUCAUUCAUCGAGACACACAUAUAGAGCGGAGGUGCUUCUUGGAAUGAACGAAACAAACCCGAAAUCGAUGAAUGGUCAAAUUUAUUUCAAGUUUUUUAUUAUUGUUAUCGAUUGGACUUGUAAUUAAACAUUAAACUAAUGAGACUGUUUUA